GUCAAUAGCUAAAAGUAUUACUGAGAUCUUUAAUUUUACAUAACUGGUUAGAUUAAUUCUGCUUUUGUGCAAGAUGGAAAUCUUAAAUAUGCGUUUUGUUCCAAACAGACACAUUACCAUACAAGAAUAUGGAAUGUCAAAUGAUACUGAAAAUUCCUGUGGUUGGAUGCUAAAAGCUGAAGAUAUUAAAACCCGCAACUCCUCCAGAGGAAGUAGUCCUUUGGGAGGCAUUACUGAGGACUGUCUUGAAGAUGGGCAACCAAGAAAACUAGAUGAACUUUUAAAGAGUUUUGACAUGGGUGAAAAGUUCAGGUUUGCAGAUGGAGUGCCUGAUGUUGAACAAGGAAAAAAAGGUGAAGCUGUGAACAGGUAUAUAUAUACUGUGUCCUUCAUGUAACCUGUGAUAUUCCCCAGUUACUGUACAAACGAAAUGCAGUGUUUUUACCAAAACACCAUCAGCAUUUUCAUUCCAUUUUCCUAUGUUAUUGUGACUAUGUGAUGAAGA
RNAcentral lists this long non-coding RNA (505 nucleotides) under Falco tinnunculus (common kestrel). RNAcentral's name for it is "lncRNA (ENSFTIG00000014021.1)". Lineage: Eukaryota; Metazoa; Chordata; Aves; Falconiformes; Falconidae. The record is from RNAcentral.